RNAcentral lists this ribosomal RNA (484 nucleotides) under uncultured bacterium. RNAcentral's name for it is "partial 16S ribosomal RNA". It matches the Rfam family "Bacterial small subunit ribosomal RNA", at positions 30 to 507 of the family's 1533-position model. The record is from RNAcentral.
AUUGAACGCUGGCGGCAGGCCUAACACAUGCAAGUCGAGCGGAUGAAGGGAGCUUGCUCCUGGAUUCAGCGGCGGACGGGUGAGUAAUGCCUAGGAAUCUGCCUGGUAGUGGGGGAUAACGUCCGGAAACGGGCGCUAAUACCGCAUACGUCCUGAGGGAGAAAGUGGGGGAUCUUCGGACCUCACGCUAUCAGAUGAGCCUAGGUCGGAUUAGCUAGUUGGUGGGGUAAAGGCCUACCAAGGCGACGAUCCGUAACUGGUCUGAGAGGAUGAUCAGUCACACUGGAACUGAGACACGGUCCAGACUCCUGCGGGAGGCAGCAGUGGGGAAUAUUGGACAAUGGGCGAAAGCCUGAUCCAGCCAUGUCGCGUGUGUGAAGAAGGUCUUCGGAUUGUAAAGCACUUUAAGUUGGGAGGAAGGGCAGUAAGUUAAUACCUUGCUGUUUUGACGUUACCAACAGAAUAAGCACCGGCUAACUUCGUG